This is a non-coding RNA of Rattus norvegicus (Norway rat), 7963 nucleotides long. Lineage: Eukaryota; Metazoa; Chordata; Mammalia; Rodentia; Muridae. The record is from RefSeq and is a predicted model, not a curated record.
UUUACUGGGGGUUCAGUCUUAGCAGGACCCAGGGCUUCCCCUUCCACUGGUGCUCUUACUAGGAUAUUCAUUGCUACCUAUGAGGUCAGAGUCCAGGGUCAGUCCAUGUAUAGUCUUUAGGUAGUGGCUUAGUCCCUGGAAGCUCUGGUUGCUUGGCAUUGUUGUACAUAUGGGGUCUCGAGCCCCUUCAAGCUCUUCCAGUUCUUUCUCUGAUUCCUUCAACGGGGGUCCUAUUCUCAGUUCAGUGGUUUGCUGCUGGCAUUCGCCUCUGUAUUUGCUGUAUUCUGGCUGUGUCUCUCAGGAGCGAUCUACAUCUGGCUCCUGUCGGUCUGCACUUCUUUGCUUUAUCCAUCUUGUCUAAUUGGGUGGCUGUAUAUGUAUGGGCCACAUGUGGGGCAGGCUCUGAAUGGGUGUUCCUUCAGUCUCUGUUUUAAUCUUUGCCUCUCUCUUCCCUGCCAAGGGUAUUCUUGUUCCCCUUUUAAAGAAGGAGUGCAGCAAUCACAUUUUGAUCAUCCGUCUUGAGUUUCAUUUGUUCUAGGCAUCUAGGGUAAUUCAAGCAUUUGGGCUAAUAGCCACUUAUCAAUGAGUGCAUACCAUGUAUGUCUUUCUGUGAUUGGGUUACCUCACUCAGGAUGAUAUUUUCCAGGUCCAACCAUUUGCCUACGAAUUUCAUAAAGUCGUUGUUUUUGAUAGCUGAGUAAUAUUCCAUUGUGUAGAUGUACCACAUUUUCUGUAUCCAUUCCUCUGUUGAAGGGCAUCUGGGUUCUUUCCAGCUUCUGGCUGUUAUAAAUAAGGCUGCGAUGAACAUAGUGGAGCACGUGUCUUUUUUAUAUGUUGGGGCAUCUUUUGGGUAUAUGCCCAAGAGAGGUAUAGCUGGAUCCUCAGGCAGUUCAAUGUCCAAUUUUCUGAGGAUCCUCCAGACUGAUUUCCAGAAUGGUUGUACCAGUCUGCAAUCCCACCAACAAUGGAGGAGUGUUCCUCUUUCUCCACAUCCUCGCCAGCAUCUGCUGUCACCUGAGUUUUUGAUCUUAGCCAUUCUCACUGGUGUGAGGUGAAAUCUCAGGGUUGUUUUGAUUUGCAUUUCCCUUAUGACUAAAGAUGUUGAACAUUUCUUUAGGUGUUUCUCAGCCAUUCGGCAUUCCUCAGCUGUGAAUUCUUUGUUUAGCUCUGAACCCCAUUUUUUAAUAGGGUUAUUUGUUUCCCUGCGGUCUAACUUCUUGAGUUCUUUGUAUAUUUUGGAUAUAAGGCCUCUAUCUGUUGUAGGAUUGGUAAAGAUCUUUUCCCAAUCUGUUGGUUGCCGUUUUGUCCUAAACACAGUGUCCUUUGCCUUACAGAAGCUUUGUAGUUUUAUGAGAUCCCAUUUGUCGAUUCUUGAUUUUAGAGCGUAAGCCAUUGGUGUUUUGUUUAGGAAAUUUUUUCCAGUGCCCAGAUGCUUCCCUAAGUUUUCUUCUAUUAGUUUGAGUGUGUCUGGUUUGAUGUGGAGGUCCUUGAUCCACUUGGACUUAAGCUUUGUACAGGGUGAUAAGCAUGGAUCGAUCUGCAUUCUUCUACAUGUUGACCUCCAGUUGAACCAGCACCAUUUGCUGAAAAUGCUAUCUUUUUUCCAUUGGAUGGUUUUGGCUCCUUUGUCAAAAAUCAAGUGAACAUAGGUGUGUGGGUUCAUUUCUGGGCCUUCAAUUCUAUUCCAUUGGUCUAUCUGUCUGUCUCUGUACCAAUACCAUGCAGUUUUUAUCACUAUUGCUCUGUAAUACUGCUUGAGUUCAGGGAUAGUGAUUCCCCCUGAAGUCCUUUUAUUGUUGAGGAUAGUUUUAGCUAUCCUGGGUUUUUUGUUAUUCCAGAUGAAUUUGCAAAUUGUUCUGUCUAACUCUUUGAAGAAUUGGAUUGGUAUUUUGAUGGGGAUUGCAUUGAAUCUGUAGAUUGCUUUUGGUAAAAUGGCCAUUUUUACUAUAUUAAUCCUGCCAAUCCAUGAGCAUGGGAGAUCUUUCCAUCUUCUGAGGUCUUCUUCAAUUUCUUUCUUCAGUGUCUUGAAGUUCUUAUUGUACAGAUCUUUUACUUGCUUGGUUAGAGUCACACCGAGGUACUUUAUAUUAUUUGGGUCUAUUAUGAAGGGUGUCGUUUCCCUAAUUUCUUUCUCGGCUUGUUUCUCUUUUGUGUAGAGGAAGGCUACUGAUUUAUUUGAGUUAAUUUUAUACCCAGCCACUUUGCUGAAGUUGUUUAUCAAGCUAUCCCUUUAUACUGGAAGCAUUUAACUGACUAGAAGAAAGGCUAUGACUCAGUCCAAGGUGACACAGAAGGACAUUAGCAUGACCAAUAGGAAGCAUGGAAAUAGGAGAUCCUCUGUAAAUGCUAGUGGUGAGUUCCUGAGCAGGCUGUCUCAUUAGAAGGAGGUAGAGAGAGGCAGACACAUGUCUUCUGAACUUGGUCUUGAGACACAAUAGAGGAAGGAAGGAGACUGAAAGAUUUCUGGAAGUUCUUAGAGCAUCAGUUAGGGGAAGCUGCUAGGGUUGGGGAAGAGGGACCACUUGAGUAUGUCCGCAUUAUCACGAUGCCUUUUCUUUAUUCAUCAUAAUACUUUUCAAUGUUAUUUUAUGUUACAUGUUGAACAUUUCUUCCUGCUUAGUCAGGCUUUCUUUUACAGUUAUAAGACUAAACACUAAGAUUUCAUUUGUAAAUAUAAUUUAUAGAGAUGACUUAAUGUUUCCUGAUAGUGCUUUCUUUUCUUAGCUUUGAAUUCUCCAGAUGUGUGAUUUGCUGGAGUAUGCUUCCACUGACCUUCAAGAGUUAUUUGCAAAUUGUCAUGGCCAGUUGGUUAAAGUUUCCAGCUAGAUGGUCCUUGCCCUCAGCCUCUUUUUUUUACGAUUCCAUAUGGAAGUCCUGAUCAUAUUGUAGGCUCCACAGAGCUGUUUUGCUCCUUCAUGGUCCAUGAAAGCACAAUUGUUAGGAAGCAAAGGACUUCCUUGUGCAGUGUCUGGCCCCUAAAAGUGAGUGUCCCACGUUUGUAUGCAUCAUAUCUGGAGUUGAGCUUCUAAGACAGAUGACUUUUCUCUUUCUGUCUCCUGUAAGUCACGGUGUAAGAGCACAGUGUGUUUACUGGAGCAAGAUUCCGCCAAUGGGUGUGGCUUGAAGUCGAGAGUUUAUGAACUGUGUAGCUUCUGCUAUUGUCUGAAGCAUUUCCUCUCGUGUCUCAGAGUUUCAUGCUUUCUCAGGCAAGGCCAGUUUUAUAUCCAGAUAAAUGUCUGGGUUUUCUUACUCCUAGGGUGAGAAGAGUAGGGGAAGUGGGCUGAUGAGUGGUGGUUGUGGUGUUUUCUUUCUGGCAGGGACUUUAUUGUGGGAGGAAGGUCUGUCUUCUAUAAAAUAGUAAAAUAAAAUUUAAAAAACCAGAAUGACUGUAACUAUUCUCAAUAAGAAAAUGAUUUCUGUUACUAUAAAGUGAGGAAAAUAGCAAUAAGGUUUGGGGGGGAAACGCUGUAACCAUUAAAAAAUAAGGAAGAUAAGGAACUGGUCACAGAAAAGUCUCUGAGAACAGUGAAGUUCAGGCAGAUCUAUUCAUUUUGAGUUGUCAUGGAAACAGAAAGAAUGAUAGUGAGUCUCCUCCCACUAAAUCAAUAAAACCGGUUUUUGUUUUGCUCUGGGAGUCACCAAGCAUACUGAGCUCUGGUAUGGAGAAAGCCAGUUUUCAUAGCAUUAACAACCUCAUCUUGCGGUAAGCAACUUGAAAAGCACCGUAGCCAGAAUAAAAACCCACAAUGUAUGCAUAGGAGGCAGUGCCCUCAAAUAAGAUUAGGGCCUCUUCUGGCCACCUGCUGUUCUGGGUCCUGUUUCUCUGUAAAUGUUUGAUGUUAAGCCAAUUUGUUUUAUUUUUCUUAAUAGAUCUGUGUAUCACUCAUGAGAUCAACUCAGUGUAAACAACAAGGUAAAAUGCAUAUUCACAUUUAAUCUACCUAUAGCACAUAGCAUGGAGAGAACUGGAUACCAAGAUCAUGGCGUACUGUGUCUAAUCCAAUGCAUAGAUUAUGCUUUUCAGGUCUCACAAGCAGGAGGCUGCAGGGUUCACAGGAAGGCUUCCACCUGUCUAAGAACCUGCUAGGCACCUGCCCCAAGUGACAUCUCCCAGGAUGUCCUUGCAGUAACAGAGAGGCUCUAGUUCCUGGCCCCCAAGAUAUCAUGGUUAUCAUGGUUCUACAAGUAUUGGCGAGCUGAGCCCCUGUGGCCUGUGACUGCAACAGACGGUCCAUUCCUCUAGUAUGAUUUAACAGCUUCCACUUGCUCAUCUGACACAGCUGGAAGUUAGUGUCACCAUGUGUACUCCAAGUGAUGGGUGUAGUCCUGAAAUGUGAGCUCAGGAAACGAGGGCAGAGAACACAACAGACAAGCACAUGCCCCCUAGGCUCCUGUCCGUAGACACACAGAAAAGGAGAUGUGGAGUAUCAUACAGCCGUAAGAAGAAUGAGAACUGGCUAUUUGAAACAGAGUGGAUAGAAAUGAAUGUCAUGCUAAGCAAAACAAGACAGACCACAAACAAAGGGCAAGAGCAAGUAUUGUGUUUGCUUUCCAGUGUGCAAAUGAAGAUCAGCCACAUCAGGAAUUAGACCUGGAGAAAGACAGGAACAAAAAAAUGGAGCAGAGACCGAAGGAAAGGCCAUCCAGAGACUGCCCCACCUGGGGAUCCAUCCCAUCUGCAGACACCAAACCCCCACACUAUUGCUGAUGCCAAGAAGAGCUUGCUGACAGGAACCUGGUAUGGCUGUCCCUUGAGAGGUUCUACCAGCACCUGACCAAUACAGAUGCAGACACUCACAGACAACCAUCAGACUGAGCUUGGAGACCCCAAUGGAAAAUCUUUUUAUUGCUUUUUAAAGAAAACUAUUUUAAAGGUUAUUUGAAUACAAAGUGGAUGAAGAAGAAUUAAAAGGAAACUACCGGUGAGUCACAAUCAUGACUGAAAGGCAGCAGGCCAAAAGAGUUAGAAACCACAAUGGGCCUGGCUCGCAGAGCUCUCCGAGAGCCAGUACAGGAACGUGAUGUGGGAAGAAAAAUGAUGAUCUUCCUUAGGGACCAGACGGGAGGCAAGAGGCUUAAGUUCCAGCAUGAGGGAUUUAGAUAACCGAAAAGGAAAAAUUUUCAGACAGUGAGGUUUGAUAGACACUGGAAUGUGUAACUGGGGAAGCUUAUGGAAUUUCCUACUCUCAAGGCCUUUUAAAAAUAGACAGCAUCUCAUCUGCUUGAAGGAUGGACUCUAUUUGACCCCCGAAGUGUCUACUGGGCCCAGGGGGAGAAGAUUACCUCCCAAAGGAAAGAGAACCUGAGUGAUCUUGGGGAAUGAUGAAAAUAUUGUGAACAUUUUUCACAUUUAAUUUGAUUUCCACAUGACACAUAUGCAAAUUAUAACUGCCAUAGUAUGCCUUUUGGUGAAAUGCUUUUAUUUUUAAUGUCUGGAGAUUAGAGUCUAAGUAAAACUCUUACAGGGAGAGAAGGCAGAACUAGUUUUGAGCUUAUUCGUAUAGGUCUAUGAGCAAGGAGAAAAGGAUAUUUUGGACCUCUUUGACUUUGAUUUCACUUCCUAUCCUAAAUUGAAAAUUAUUGCCCUUUUUAUUGGCUUUGAUAUUUUGAAGGGAAACUAAAAGAUUAAUUUAGUGCAAGAGUUUCUCACAGUGUUUUUGGCAAGACUAGCGUUCCAAGCUGGGCCAGGUUCUCUGUACUUAAUUUCCUCUCAGGAAGUUUACCUCCAAAAGUCCAAAUAUAAGGUCAAACUUUGGGUUGCCGGAAAUGUUAAUGUCCUUUACUGUCUGAGCACCCAGACAGCCCUCAGCGAGGUAGUCUACUUUGUGGACAUUGGUAAGGAUGCAAAUGCCUUAUAAUGAUUUAGCUGCUUCCUUCCUGCUUAUUAAAAAAUGAGCUUGGAGAUCUUUACCCAGCCUUCUAAAAUUCAUAAAUUCUAUUCUCCACACAUAAGAAGUUUUCUACAUUCUCUGGAUUCAGUUGAGUGUACACAUCUAGUUAUAAGUGAUAUAACCUGUCUUCCUUCUUAAACAGCAAGGCUUGCUCCAGGCCAAAGAGGAAGCACUUGUUAAACUUAUUGUCUACUUUAAGCAAACAGCUCUAGUGUGUUGCAAACACGAUUUCUCUCUGUUUUAGGUGACCCAAUGACACCUAAUGGUUACAGCACAUUGUCACAUACCUCUUGUCUAAGUGGUUAUGAUUCUAAGGAGAAGCUUGUAAAUGUUAUGAACAUGUAGGUAUGAAGACGGAGAUCUUGUAAGAGGAUGUGAUUUGCUUAGGGUCUCAAGACUAGAAACUAUAAAGUACCCAGGAAGUACAAGAUUCUGGGGACCAUUUUUGACAUCAGAGCCUGGGUCUUUCCCACUGUAUAAUGCUGUGAUAUUCGAGUGACUUGUAAUGUUGUUCACCACUGAAGAGAUCUUUGGCUUACUCAUCAAAGUCACGUUGGAUACAAUGGGACUGAAGUCUCUACCACUAAACAGAAGGUUGUGUUUGUUGUUGCCCAGACACAGGAAGUAAACACCAUAAGUUUUCAACAUACUCUGGCGUUUCCCAUGGUAAGCCAUUUCUCAUAGCAUUCUCAUAGCAGGGAGGUGAUGGCCCAUUCUAAUCCACGCCAGUUACUAGUGCUUGAACGACAUUAGAAGGUACAAAACACAGCUUAAUAUUGCAUCAGCUUCUGACAAAAUGUUGAAUCCAUCUCUUAUAAUUCCUGGCACACGGUUGUGGGUGUCACUGGGGGGCAUGGUGGCUUUAUUUCCUUCCCUAACAGUUCGGAAGUUUGUUUAAUACUGACUCAGAGGAAGCAUUCUAGCUGAGUCCUCACAUGGCCUUGUUUACAGCUCCGGAGUGUACAUAAUAGAUAAAGAACUGACUUCCACAUACCCCUGCGCUUCCUGGGUGUGUGGGCGAGUGUGCUUGAGCCUGUGAAACCGGGUUGUGCAAUCUCCUGCUCGGGCGCAUCAGGUUGCAGCCACCCCACAUCCCUUAAAUAUUCCUCUGAGUGAGCCUAAUGUUUCACAAACUGAAGACCAAUGUAUUCUCUAGAGGUGCCAGUAAUUAAUAAUUAACUUGAAGAAAAAUCCCAUGAGUCUCUAGAUGGUCAAAACAGAGGUGGUGGCUGAGUGUAAAAAACAAAACAACAGUGGAGAAACAGAAAUGUAUUCAAAACAGAUAAACACUCUUUCAGCAGCAGGACCUCCCUGUUUUGAUUGUAAUUGUAGCUGGCAUUUAUAUACAGUCCAGUCUGGGGCAAGGAUUUUUGUUUUACCAGUAUUAUUUUCCUUGAUUCUUGUGCUAGCCUUUAUGGGUAAAUAUAAGCUAAUGCACUUUUAUAGGCUGGUCAGAUCAGAGGAUUUUUAUAAAAGUAUCCUGAGUUAGACUGAUAGUAACUGUUGGUGUAGUUAGUCUGAUAGUAACUAUUAGAAUAAGGAGAGGGACCAGAACUGUUUGACUUUCAAGGCUCUCCCCACUAGUCUAUGUGUUAUUCUUCUUUGGAUAUGACUUUGCACAAAUCUUCAUUGAGUUAGUUUAAAAAAAAAAGGUACAAUAUAAUCCAUUAGAAGAACUUUCUGGAUUUAUGAAGGGUCAGACUAAAGGCUUUGGAGGAUGGUUGCAUGUUUCUCCUGGGCCUGGAGAAAGGGGAAUGGAUACUUUUGAAACAUCUAUGAAAUUAUCUAUGAGCUGUCUCUGGAGCACAGUGCAGGACUGAUAACUUGCGUCCCAAAUAGAUGUCCAGUAGUACAUAUUAGAAACACAUUCUCUUUUUACCAAACCUUUGCAUCAAAAUUAGGUGACACAGUGCUCACUAAAUUUAAAGAUCUUUCUAAAGCUUACUUUUAAAGGUGUCGUAAUCGUUCACUUUUUCCCCUCUGUUUUACAGCUGCUGCUGAAUUACGAGGCUUGCUGAAUCAUCUGCAGAAGAUAGCGUUGUUUUUGCAAAAUAAAAGAAAUGUCGGGUAUA